CAGCCGUAAACGAUGUGCGUUAGGUGUAUCGACGACCACGAGUCGUCGAGGUGCCGAAGGGAAACCGUGAAACGUACCGCCUGGGAAGUACGGUCGCAAGGCUGAAACUUAAAGGAAUUGGCGGGGGAGCACCACAACAGGUGGAGCCUGCGGUUUAAUUGGACUCAACGCCGGGAAGCUCACCGGAUAGGACAGCAGAAUGAUUGCCGGGCUGAAGACCCUGCAUGACUAGCUGAGAGGAGGUGCAUGGCGUCAGUGACU
RNAcentral lists this ribosomal RNA (261 nucleotides) under uncultured archaeon. Its description in RNAcentral is "partial 16S ribosomal RNA". It matches the Rfam family "Archaeal small subunit ribosomal RNA", at positions 748 to 1008 of the family's 1478-position model. The record is from RNAcentral.